RNAcentral lists this unclassified non-coding RNA (446 nucleotides) under Bombus terrestris (buff-tailed bumblebee). Its description in RNAcentral is "misc RNA ENSBTSG00005032408.1". Lineage: Eukaryota; Metazoa; Arthropoda; Insecta; Hymenoptera; Apidae. The record is from RNAcentral.
UCUAUCAGGAUGCGCCUGAUUACCGAACGUCAUCAUUACGGACCAAGAGAUGAACUGAGACAAAAAAUUCUGCUAUGAAAGCAAAACAGACAAAACUAACGACUGAAAGUACAAGAAAGGGAAGUGAACAAGGAAGCAGAAAAAGCAGUUUGAGGCUUUUUCGUCAACUUUUCGUCCUCCUUCGUGUUCAUUUCGACGAUCACUUCCGGCGCAUCUGGCACUACAACGGAUCUAACAUUUUCGGUAUCUUUCUGCGGAACUUCUACGGGAGGUUGAUCGCCUUGUACCUCUGAUGUCGCCACUGGUUUUGGCGCAUCUAAGUAAGCACAGUCUUGCUGAUCCGUCUUUACGAAAAACGUUUUGGAAAUCUUGUAGCUGUCAAGGACGGCGUAAGCCUAUUUGGAAAGUAAUUUAUAUUAUAUUUCUACUGUAUAAUAAAAUCCCUC